UGCAAGUCGAACGAUGAUGCCCAGCUUGCUGGGCGGAUUAGUGGCGAACGGGUGAGUAACACGUGAGUAACCUGCCCUUGACUUCGGGAUAACUCCGGGAAACCGGGGCUAAUACCGGAUAUGAGCCGUCCUCGCAUGGGGGUGGUUGGAAAGUUUUUCGGUCAGGGAUGGGCUCGCGGCCUAUCAGCUUGUUGGUGGGGUGAUGGCCUACCAAGGCGACGACGGGUAGCCGGCCUGAGAGGGCGACCGGCCACACUGGGACUGAGACACGGCCCAGACUCCUACGGGAGGCAGCAGUGGGGAAUAUUGCACAAUGGGCGAAAGCCUGAUGCAGCGACGCCGCGUGAGGGAUGAAGGCCUUCGGGUUGUAAACCUCUUUCAGCAGGGAAGAAGCGCAAGUGACGGUACCUGCAGAAGAAGCGCCGGCUAACUACGUGCCAGCAGCCGCGGUAAUACGUAGGGCGCAAGCGUUGUCCGGAAUUAUUGGGCGUAAAGAGCUCGUAGGCGGUUUGUCGCGUCUGGUGUGAAAACUCGAGGCUCAACCUCGAGCUUGCAUCGGGUACGGGCAGACUAGAGUGCGGUAGGGGAGACUGGAAUUCCUGGUGUAGCGGUGGAAUGCGCAGAUAUCAGGAGGAACACCGAUGGCGAAGGCAGGUCUCUGGGCCGCAACUGACGCUGAGGAGCGAAAGCAUGGGGAGCGAACAGGAUUAGAUACCCUGGUAGUCCAUGCCGUAAACGUUGGGCACUAGGUGUGGGGCUCAUUCCACGAGUUCCGUGCCGCAGCAAACGCAUUAAGUG
Molecule: ribosomal RNA, 798 nt
Filed under: Cellulosimicrobium sp. 12-24-1
Lineage: Bacteria; Bacillati; Actinomycetota; Actinomycetes; Micrococcales; Promicromonosporaceae
Description: bacterial SSU rRNA
Rfam family: Bacterial small subunit ribosomal RNA
Source: RNAcentral